RNAcentral lists this ribosomal RNA (253 nucleotides) under uncultured bacterium. RNAcentral's name for it is "partial 16S ribosomal RNA". It matches the Rfam family "Bacterial small subunit ribosomal RNA", at positions 524 to 776 of the family's 1533-position model. The record is from RNAcentral.
UACGAAGGGGGCGAGCGUUGUUCGGAUUUACUGGGCGUAAAGCGCGUGUAGGCGGUUAUCCAAGUCGGGUGUGAAAGCCUUGAGCUUAACUCAAGAAAUGCAUUCGGUACUGGGUGACUAGAGGACCGGAGAGGAUAGUGGAAUUCCCAGUGUAGUGGUGAAAUACGUAGAGAUUGGGAAGAACACCAGUGGCGAAGGCGGCUAUCUGGACGGUUUCUGACGCUAAGACGCGAAAGCGUGGGGAGCAAACAGG